GGGUCAGUAGGUUGGUCGUGCCACCGGUACGUACUGGUCUCACUGGUUCCUCCUUCCUGAAGAACCGUAAUGCCAUUAAUUUGGUGUUGCGGGGAAACAGGACUGUUACUUUGAAAAAAUUAGAGUGUUUAAAGCAAGCUAACGCUUGAAUACAUUAGCAUGGAAUAACGAAAUAGGACGAUCGAUCCUAUUUUGUUGGUUUCUAGGAUUGACGUA
Molecule: ribosomal RNA, 216 nt
Filed under: Glomeromycotina sp.
Lineage: Eukaryota; Fungi; Glomeromycota
Description: partial small subunit ribosomal RNA
Rfam family: Eukaryotic small subunit ribosomal RNA (bases 47-216)
Source: RNAcentral